UGUUUCUCGAUUUUAAAGAUGCAGGGGACACACGGCCAGACCACAGGCCCAUGUGCUAGGCCGUGUGUCACACACGGCUGAGACACAUGCCCAUGUCUCUAUCCGUGUGGAUGAAAAUAAGCCAUUUUUUAGCCACUUUUCUCAACUAAUCCUGGUAUCAACCUAGGCACAACCAUUUACACAUUCACAAACAACAACAAGACCUUCAAUUCAAG
RNAcentral lists this long non-coding RNA (215 nucleotides) under Gossypium barbadense (sea-island cotton). RNAcentral's name for it is "long non-coding RNA (GBAR_LNC017266)". The record is from RNAcentral. Lineage: Eukaryota; Viridiplantae; Streptophyta; Magnoliopsida; Malvales; Malvaceae.